This 460-nucleotide ribosomal RNA is filed under the name uncultured bacterium. RNAcentral's name for it is "partial 16S ribosomal RNA". It matches the Rfam family "Bacterial small subunit ribosomal RNA", at positions 338 to 795 of the family's 1533-position model. The record is from RNAcentral.
CCUACGGGAGGCAGCAGUGAGGAAUAUUGGUCAAUGGACGAGAGUCUGAACCAGCCAAGUAGCGUGAAGGAUGACUGCCCUAUGGGUUGUAAACUUCUUUUAUAAAGGAAUAAAACGAGGCACGUGUGCCUUUUUGCAUGUACUUUAUGAAUAAGGAUCGGCUAACUCCGUGCCAGCAGCCGCGGUAAUACGGAGGAUCCGAGCGUUAUCCGGGUUUAUUGGGUUUAAAGGGAGCGUAGAUGGGUUGUUAAGUCAGUUGUGAAAGUUUGCGGCUCAACCGUAAAAUUGCAAUUGAUACUGGCAGUCGUGAGUACAGUUGAGGUAGGCGGAAUUCGUGGUGUAGCGGUGAAAUGCGUAGAUAUCACGAAGAACCCCGAUUGCGAAGGCAGCUUACUAAACUGUGACUGACAUUGAUGCUCGAAAGUGUGGGUAUCAAACAGGAUUAGAUACCCGUGUAGUC